UACGGAGGAUGCGAGCGUUAUCCGGAUUUAUUGGGUUUACAGGGUGCGUAGGCGGACUGUCAAGUCAGCGGUAAAAUUGAGAGGCUCAACCUCUUCCCGCCGUUGAAACUGGUGGUCUUGAGUGGAUGAGAAGUACGCGGAAUGCGUGGUGUAACGGUGAAAUGCAUAGAUAUCACGCAGAACUCCGAUUGCGAAGGCAGCGUACCGGCAUCCAACUGACGCUGAGGCACGAAAGCGUGGGGAUCAAACAGG
Molecule: ribosomal RNA, 252 nt
Filed under: uncultured bacterium
Lineage: Bacteria
Description: partial 16S ribosomal RNA
Rfam family: Bacterial small subunit ribosomal RNA
Source: RNAcentral